UUAAGCGACUAAGCGUACACGGUGGAUGCCUAGGCAGUCAGAGGCGAUGAAGGGCGUGCUAAUCUGCGAAAAGCGUCGGUAAGGUGAUAUGAACCGUUAUAACCGACGAUACCCGAAUGGGGAAACCCAGUGCAAUUCGUUGCACUAUUGCAUGGUGAAUACAUAGCCAUGCAAGGCGAACCGGGGGAACUGAAACAUCUAAGUACCCCGAGGAAAAGAAAUCAACCGAGAUUCCCCCAGUAGCGGCGAGCGAACGGGGAGGAGCCCAGAACCUGAAUCAGCAUAUGUGUUAGUGGAAGCGUCUGGAAAGUCGCGCGGUACAGGGUGAUAGUCCCGUACACAAAAAUGCAUAUGUUGUGAGUUCGAUGAGUAGGGCGGGACACGUGACAUCCUGUCUGAAUAUGGGGGGACCAUCCUCCAAGGCUAAAUACUCCUGACUGACCGAUAGUGAACCAGUACCGUGAGGGAAAGGCGAAAAGAACCCCGGCGAGGGGAGUGAAAUAGAACCUGAAACCGUGUACGUACAAGCAGUGGGAGCACCUUCGUGGUGUGACUGCGUACCUUUUGUAUAAUGGGUCAGCGACUUAUAUUUUGUAGCAAGGUUAACCGAAUAGGGGAGCCGUAGGGAAACCGAGUCUUAACUGGGCGAAUAGUUGCAAGGUAUAGACCCGAAACCCGGUGAUCUAGCCAUGGGCAGGUUGAAGGUUGGGUAACACUAACUGGAGGACCGAACCGACUAAUGUUGAAAAAUUAGCGGAUGACUUGUGGCUGGGGGUGAAAGGCCAAUCAAACCGGGAGAUAGCUGGUUCUCCCCGAAAGCUAUUUAGGUAGCGCCUCGUGAACUCAUCUUCGGGGGUAGAGCACUGUUUCGGCUAGGGGGUCAUCCCGACUUACCAAACCGAUGCAAACUCCGAAUACCGAAGAAUGUUAUCACGGGAGACACACGGCGGGUGCUAACGUCCGUCGUGAAGAGGGAAACAACCCAGACCGCCAGCUAAGGUCCCAAAGUCAUGGUUAAGUGGGAAACGAUGUGGGAAGGCAUAGACAGCCAGGAUGUUGGCUUAGAAGCAGCCAUCAUUUAAAGAAAGCGUAAUAGCUCACUGGUCGAGUCGGCCUGCGCGGAAGAUGUAACGGGGCUAAACCAUGCACCGAAGCUGCGGCAGCGACGCUUAGGCGUUGUUGGGUAGGGGAGCGUUCUGUAAGCCGUUGAAGGUGACCUGUGAGGGUUGCUGGAGGUAUCAGAAGUGCGAAUGCUGACAUAAGUAACGAUAAUGCGGGUGAAAAACCCGCACGCCGGAAGACCAAGGGUUCCUGUCCAACGUUAAUCGGGGCAGGGUGAGUCGACCCCUAAGGCGAGGCUGAAAAGCGUAGUCGAUGGGAAACAGGUUAAUAUUCCUGUACUUGGUGUUACUGCGAAGGGGGGACGGAGAAGGCUAGGCUAGCCGGGCGACGGUUGUCCCGGUUUAAGCAUGUAGGCGGAGUGACUUGGUAAAUCCGGUUGCUUAUCAACGCUGAGGUGUGAUGACGAGUCACUACGGUGAUGAAGUAGUUGAUGCCAAGCUUCCAGGAAAAGCCUCUAAGCAUCAGGUAACAUUAAAUCGUACCCCAAACCGACACAGGUGGUCAGGUAGAGAAUACUCAGGCGCUUGAGAGAACUCGGGUGAAGGAACUAGGCAAAAUGGUGCCGUAACUUCGGGAGAAGGCACGCUGGCAUUAGGUAAAGAGACUUGCUCUCGGCGCCGAAGCCAGUCGCAGAUACCAGCUGGCUGCAACUGUUUAAUAAAAACACAGCACUGUGCAAACACGAAAGUGGACGUAUACGGUGUGACGCCUGCCCGGUGCUGGAAGGUUAAUUGAUGGGGUCAGCCGCAAGGCGAAGCUCUUGAUCGAAGCCCCAGUAAACGGCGGCCGUAACUAUAACGGUCCUAAGGUAGCGAAAUUCCUUGUCGGGUAAGUUCCGACCUGCACGAAUGGCGUAAUGAUGGCCAGGCUGUCUCCACCCGAGACUCAGUGAAAUUGAACUCGCUGUGAAGAUGCAGUGUACCCGCGGCAAGACGGAAAGACCCCGUGAACCUUUACUAUAGCUUGACACUGAACAUUGAGCCUUGAUGUGUAGGAUAGGUGGGAGGCAUUGAAGUGUGGACGCCAGUCUGCAUGGAGCCAACCUUGAAAUACCACCCUUUAAUGUUUGAUGUUCUAACUCGGCCCCAUAAUCUGGGGUGAGGACAGUGUCUGGUGGGUAGUUUGACUGGGGCGGUCUCCUCCCAAAGAGUAACGGAGGAGCACGAAGGUUAGCUAAUCACGGUCGGACAUCGUGAGGUUAGUGCAAAGGCAUAAGCUAGCUUGACUGCGAGAGUGACGGCUCGAGCAGGUACGAAAGUAGGUCUUAGUGAUCCGGUGGUUCUGAAUGGAAGGGCCAUCGCUCAACGGAUAAAAGGUACUCCGGGGAUAACAGGCUGAUACCGCCCAAGAGUUCAUAUCGACGGCGGUGUUUGGCACCUCGAUGUCGGCUCAUCACAUCCUGGGGCUGAAGUAGGUCCCAAGGGUAUGGCUGUUCGCCAUUUAAAGUGGUACGCGAGCUGGGUUUAGAACGUCGUGAGACAGUUCGGUCCCUAUCUGCCGUGGGCGUUGGAAGAUUGAGAGGGGCUGCUCCUAGUACGAGAGGACCGGAGUGGACGAAUCACUGGUGUUCGGGUUGUCAUGCCAAUGGCAUUGCCCGGUAGCUAAAUUCGGAAGAGAUAACCGCUGAAAGCAUCUAAGCGGGAAACUUGCCUCGAGAUGAGUCUUCCCUGGGGCUUUAAGCCCCCUGAAGGAACGUUAAAGACUAUGACGUUGAUAGGCUGGGUGUGUAAGUGCAGCGAUGCAUUGAGCUAACCAGUACUAAUGAUCCGUGAGGCUUAACCUU
RNAcentral lists this ribosomal RNA (2905 nucleotides) under Yersinia enterocolitica. Its description in RNAcentral is "23S ribosomal RNA". It matches the Rfam family "Bacterial large subunit ribosomal RNA". The record is from RNAcentral. Lineage: Bacteria; Pseudomonadati; Pseudomonadota; Gammaproteobacteria; Enterobacterales; Yersiniaceae.